RNAcentral lists this ribosomal RNA (468 nucleotides) under uncultured bacterium. Its description in RNAcentral is "partial 16S ribosomal RNA". It matches the Rfam family "Bacterial small subunit ribosomal RNA", at positions 28 to 507 of the family's 1533-position model. The record is from RNAcentral.
GACGAACGCUGGCGGCGUGCUUAACACAUGCAAGUCGAACGGAAAGGCCCGGCUUUUGUGGGUUGGUCGAUUGGCGAAGAGGGGAGUAACACGUGAGUAACAUGUCCUUGUCUGAGGGGGAACUUCAGGAAACAGGGGCUAAUACGGGAUAGGAUCUAUUGCUGCAGGGUGGGGGUUGGUAAGAUUCGGUGGUUGGGGGUGGACUCGAGGCUUAAGAGAUUGUUGGUGGGGUAGUGGAGUACCAGGGCUUUGAAGGGUAGCCGGCCUGGGAGGGUGACCGGCGCCAUUGGGACUGAGAUAAGGCACAGACUCGUAUGGUACGCAAUAGUGGAGAAUAUUGCACAGUGGCCUGAAGCAUGUUCCAGCAACGCCGCGUGCGGGAUGAUGUCCUUCGGGUUGUAAACCACUGUCGCAUUAGCCGAAGCGUUAGUGACGGUAACGGGUAAAGAAGCACCGGCUAACUACGUG